GGGGCAAGCGUUAUCCGGAAUUAUUGGGUGUAAAGGGUGCGUAGACGGAAGAACAAGUUGGUUGUGAAAUCCCUCGGCUCAACUGAGGAACUGCAACCAAAACUAUUAUUCUUGAGUGCAGGAGAGGAAAGUGGAAUUCCUAGUGUAGCGGUGAAAUGCGUAGAUAUUAGGAAGAACACCGGUGGCGAAGGCGACUUUCUGGACUGUAACUGACGUUGAGGCACGAAAGUGUGGGGAGCAAAC
This 243-nucleotide ribosomal RNA is filed under the name uncultured bacterium. RNAcentral's name for it is "partial 16S ribosomal RNA". It matches the Rfam family "Bacterial small subunit ribosomal RNA", at positions 531 to 773 of the family's 1533-position model. The record is from RNAcentral.